GGCGUGCGUACGGCAUCAAGAUUUGCUUGCAAAACAAAAGCGCUGGUUGCCUAUGCUUUCAGUAUCAGUUCUCUCCUUUGUGCAGCAGAGUCUGAUCACCUUACGAACAUCUAAAAUGGCUUUCGCUCUCGCCACCUCGCGCGAGGCUCUGCAGGUCGCAUGCAAGGCGACCGGCAAGAAGGCCGCUGCUAAGGUCCGUUUUAUUUCGACACCAUUUAUUUUAUCAGCGUACCUUACAUAGACGCACAUACGUAUUUGCAGUGUCCUCUGGCUAACCAGAGACGUUUGUCCCGUUCGCAACAUCUUUACAGCCGGCUGCCCCCAAGAGCUCUGGUAUCGAGUGGUAUGGCCCGAACCGCGCUAAGUGGCUCGGUAGGUUAUCCUGGAGAUCCGAGGAGAUCCGAUAUGCAGCGGGUGUAGCGCGUAUCGGAGGGCCGGAAUAAUCGGUCGGUCUCGUGCAUGGUCCUCCUUUCGGCGCAACAUGCCGCAGCGUCAGGUUUCUGUGCGCAGGCUGCUCUCUCGGUCCUUUGCUGACAUCGCGCGAUGCAUGCUGCGAUGAAGGGCACAGGUUGCGUCUUUCCCCCUUUCGCGACCUGCCGUUCAGUAGCCCGCUGCCGCCGUAUGUCCGCUUUCCCCUUCUGUGCCCACAUCGGACAGGCCCCUACAGCGAGAAUGCCACCCCUGCCUACCUGACUGGCGAGUUCCCCGGUGACUACGGCUGGGACACUGCCGGCCUGUCCGCUGACCCGGAGACGUUCAAGCGCUACCGCGAGCUGGAGCUGAUCCAUGCGCGCUGGGCCAUGCUUGGCGCUCUGGGCUGCCUGACCCCCGAGCUGCUGUCCAAGAACGGCGUGCAGUUCGGUGAGGCUGUGUGGUUCAAGGCCGGCGCUCAGAUCUUCCAGGAGGGCGGCCUGGACUACCUGGGCAACCCGUCGCUGGUGCACGCUCAGAACAUCGUCGCGACGCUGGCGUGUCAGGUGGGCGGGAGGGACGUGGCUGCAUGCUUAGGAAUGUGUCCGGUCGCCUUACUUGUUAGCUGGCUAGGUGAAACAAGUGGGGCGCGGCAACUGUGCUGCCANNNNNNNNNNNNNNNNNNNNNNNNNNNNNNNNNNNNNNNNNNNNNNNNNNNNNNNNNNNNNNNNNNNNNNNNNNNNNNNNNNNNNNNNNNNNNNNNNNNNNNNNNNNNNNNNNNNNNNNNNNNNNNNNNNNNNNNNNNNNNNNNNNNNNNNNNNNNNNNNNNNNNNNNNNNNNNNNNNNNNNNNNNNNNNNNNNNNNNNNNNNNNNNNNNNNNNNNNNNNNNNNNNNNNNNNNNNNNNNNNNNNNNNNNNNNNNNNNNNNNNNNNNNNNNNNNNNNNNNNNNNNNNNNNNNNNNNNNNNNNNNNNNNNNNNNNNNNNNNNNNNNNNNNNNNNNNNNNNNNNNNNNNNNNNNNNNNNNNNNNNNNNNNNNNNNNNNNNNNNNNNNNNNNNNNNNNNNNNNNNNNNNNNNNNNNNNNNNNNNNNNNNNNNNNNNNNNNNNNNNNNNNNNNNNNNNNNNNNNNNNNNNNNNNNNNNNNNNNNNNNNNNNNNNNNNNNNNNNNNNNNNNNNNNNNNNNNNNNNNACCAGAGACGUUUGUCCCGUUCGCAACAUCUUUACAGCCGGCUGCCCCCAAGAGCUCUGGUAUCGAGUGGUAUGGCCCGAACCGCGCUAAGUGGCUCGGUAGGUUAUCCUGGAGAUCCGAGGAGAUCCGAUAUGCAGCGGGUGUAGCGCGUAUCGGAGGGCCGGAAUAAUCGGUCGGUCUCGUGCAUGGUCCUCCUUUCGGCGCAACAUGCCGCAGCGUCAGGUUUCUGUGCGCAGGCUGCUCUCUCGGUCCUUUGCUGACAUCGCGCGAUGCAUGCUGCGAUGAAGGGCACAGGUUGCGUCUUUCCCCCUUUCGCGACCUGCCGUUCAGUAGCCCGCUGCCGCCGUAUGUCCGCUUUCCCCUUCUGUGCCCACAUCGGACAGGCCCCUACAGCGAGAAUGCCACCCCUGCCUACCUGACUGGCGAGUUCCCCGGUGACUACGGCUGGGACACUGCCGGCCUGUCCGCUGACCCGGAGACGUUCAAGCGCUACCGCGAGCUGGAGCUGAUCCAUGCGCGCUGGGCCAUGCUUGGCGCUCUGGGCUGCCUGACCCCCGAGCUGCUGUCCAAGAACGGCGUGCAGUUCGGUGAGGCUGUGUGGUUCAAGGCCGGCGCUCAGAUCUUCCAGGAGGGCGGCCUGGACUACCUGGGCAACCCGUCGCUGGUGCACGCUCAGAACAUCGUCGCGACGCUGGCGUGUCAGGUGGGCGGGAGGGACGUGGCUGCAUGCUUAGGAAUGUGUCCGGUCGCCUUACUUGUUAGCUGGCUAGGUGAAACAAGGUGGGGCGCGGCAACUGUGCUGCCAGCCCUUGACUGUCGUAAGCUCCCCUGCCUUUUGCGCGCUCUUACAUUCAGCUUGGCUUUGGAUUCCUAGUCGCAGCCUUGUGACAUGUGAGCAUUGUGCGUUAUCGCACGCACAUCCAGGAAUCUGGGUGUCUCGUUUCCUAUCCAGCUUGGUUUUAUUGCAACGUAACCCCAAGCGAGCAGACGACGCGUUAGAUGGCGUGUUGCAUAUCCGUAUUGACUGCUGUCUUCUCCCCCGCUCUCGCUGCUCACGUGCCGCGCAGGUGAUCCUGAUGGGCCUGGUGGAGGGCUACCGUGUGAACGGCGGCCCGGCCGGCGAGGGCCUGGACCCGCUGUACCCCGGCGAGUCGUUCGACCCCCUGGGCCUGGCUGACGACCCGGACACCUUCGCCGAGCUCAAGGUCAAGGAGAUCAAGAACGGCCGCCUGGCCAUGUUCUCCAUGUUCGGCUUCUUCGUGCAGGCCAUUGUGACCGGCAAGGGGCCCAUUGAGAACCUGAACGACCAUCUGGCCAACCCGGCCGUCAACAACGCCUUCGCCUUCGCCACCAAGUUCACGCCCAGCGCGUAAUGUAUCGCUGCUACGUUUGCUAGUCGAAGCGGUUGUCCGCAUCUGCCGGCCGCUGCUGCCUUCAGCUACGUUACGUUGUUUAGCUAUGUGAACGUAGACACAACAUACCCAAUAAACUGCCAAUACCGGUAUACGAGACGUCACAUGCAUAGCAAUUGCAGGCAGUAGUUGCCUAUCCGUCGCUGUUGGGUAAAUACGCUUGGAUGCGCAGCUUGCCAAAACUGUUGAGUGAUGCGUGGGUGCUUGUCAGUUAUUUCCAUCGAACCUCGUUGUCGCACUGUGGCCACCUCUGUUUUUAAUGUCGUGUUCCUGCGAUGAGUUCCCGCGUGGUGAGUGGUGAGCAGCGGCGGAAGCGGUCCUGUUACGGGCCUGAAGUUUUGAUGUGGGUGUUUCCCAGUAGGGGUUUCCCACAGCACGGGUGUUGAGGUGGAGCUCUUACUUUUGGGUGGGGUAUUGGGCGGUGAGACGUGAGAUAUCAAGAGCUUCAUACAAAGCGCAUGCACGUGCUGGGUGCGUUGCGCCAAGCAAGCUCCUGUAACAUUUCGGUGUUCAUGACAUAAGGAAGGUCUCGGUUCCAGUGCUUGUUUCACCGCUUCUUGGGGCGGGAGCACAUACAGCCAUUUUGGUGGGCGCGUACUGCAAAGGCGGCCACGCAAACAGGCACACAUGGAGAACACGCGCGAGACACGAGCUAAAGGAACAUGUCAUUCAGAGGGAUGAUUCGAGGUGCAUAUGGCCACGCUCUAUCGCGCGAAAGAAGCCAAGGGUUAUCGUGGCUUUCCUGUGUUAGCGAAGUGAGCUAGGCGCUUAAUCGCGGGUUGAUGGCCUCGGUUGUCGUACAGUGCAAGAGUUAAACUUCAGCAAACCACGUUGGUAGGUCACUCCCCGCCGACAUCAUCACUGGCGCGGCAUAGGUCAUCGCCAAUCCCUCUAGCGUACAGCGGCCUCGGCCUCCGCGAACCAGGCUCGCUACCUUCCUCACAGCCAGGAACUACGUUGCCACUGGAAGGUACCCCGAUGCACCAAGAAGGCUUAUUGUGGCGCUCGCCUCGGGCUUAUGUGUCCCGUUUCGGAUAGCACAGCAUCAGCACCACGAAAAACCUGCCGAUAUGCAUAACAAAAAAUCACACACACACACCAACACACACACACAUACUUACAAACACAAACACACACAAACACAAACCACACACUCACUCUCUUUCUUUUUCUUGUCAUGCAGAAACACACAGACGCACACCCACACCCACACACAUGCACACACGCGCACACACAUGCACACACACACACACACACGCACACACACGCACAUACGCACACGCACACGCCACACUUAAGUCGAAGGAAAAAGGCACGAAGUCGGACUGGAGCCUUGUAAUGAGUGAUGCCGUUACCUGGAUUACAGUCCGGUGUAGAACCAUGGGACGUGCAAUGAUAUGGAGUCUUAAAAGCUCGGCAACCAGAUGGACGCCGCUGCAUGCUGGCUACUGCUUUCAGUAUCACCCUGGCUGGCAGGCCCCUUUCGAUCAGUUUCGCAUCCGCAAGGCCAGAGCAUGCAGCAUCGCCAAUGGUUUGACCACCUGCUCCCGUAACUUAAGAACCAAAUACCGAAUGCCAGUGCCAUGGGUCCAGUACUCCCCCAGAAAGGCAGGAUGACACACAAAUAGGCUACCCGCUGUCCCUUGUCUAUCUGGUACUGCCCCGCGACUUUAUGCAUAAAACUGCUGGUCACAAGAAGUUCUUCUUUGUUCCUUUCACAGUUCAAUUGGUAGCCUGAAGCUAAGCAUGCGUGGAGUGCUGAACAUGUAGCGUGCGUGGUGAAACCCCUGGCAAAAGAGGUAACAAACAGAGGGCGUGCUGGCGUUCCGUUCAGUACUUCAGAGGUCAAAGGCAAGCCAUGGGCAAAGUAGGAGCUUUUCCCAGGUGCCAGCCUUAGGCUCCGACGUUUGGAAGCCCGUGGCCGAUUGUAAGUUGCGAAGAGCUCAUGCGUUUGGUCGAGGCCGACCGUCCUCCCUUGAUCGGACGACAGGUUGCUACGCACGUGCUUGUUGCUUUCCUUCGGUCCUAAACGGCCUCCGGUUCGGCGCUGUCGCCCUUUUGCGGUCCAGCAGAGCUUGGACCUUGUGUUCACCGGCCCUGUCCGGGAUGGAAUGCCCUUUGCCGUCCUAAGCAGCGUGACCCAUUAUAUCAGCUUGCUUCCUAGCAAGGACAACAGCUACUGUCCUCCCGUCCUACGGUACUGGUAAUGAGUAAAGGCCGAACAGCUAGGGUCAAACAUGGAGAGACCACUUUUGGCGCCUAAAGAAUGCAUUGCAGUGCGUAUCAAAAUCCAUGUUCAGCGUGCACGUCACAGCAUUUAUACAGUCGCCACUGAGUUAUCCCUGCAUCAGAAACUUGUAUGAAACUUGCAAGCAGGUGUAGCAAAUCGUUCAUGCCAAUCUGUGCAAGUGCAGAUAGCUGUUAAGCGCAUGUGUUGCAGGUGUGCCAUGUCUGUAUCCUGCGAUCUCUGUUAGGUAAGCGCCCUGUCCCACGGACAGGACAGGGAUACGGCGUGCGUACGGCAUCAAGAUUUGCUUGCAAAACAAAAGCGCUGGUUGCCUGUGCUUUCAGUAUCAGUUCUCUCCUUUGUGCAGCAGAGUCUGAUCACCUUACGAACAUCUAAAAUGGCUUUCGCUCUCGGCACCUCGCGCGAGGCUCUGCAGGUCGCAUGCAAGGCGACCGGCAAGAAGGCCGCUGCUAAGGUCCGUUUUAUUUCGACACCAUUUAUUUUAUCAGCGUACCUUACAUAGACGCACAUACGUAUUUGCAGUGUCCUCUGGCUAACCAGAGACGUUUGUCCCGUUCGCAACAUCUUUACAGCCGGCUGCCCCCAAGAGCUCUGGCAUCGAGUGGUAUGGCCCGAACCGCGCUAAGUGGCUCGGUAGGUUAUCCUGGAGAUCCGAGGAGAUCCGAUAUGCAGCGGGUGUAGCGCGUAUCGGAGGGCCGGAAUAAUCGGUCGGUCUCCUGCAUGGUCCUCCUUUCGGCGCAACAUGCCGCAGCGUCAGGUUUCUGUGCGCAGGCUGCUCUCUCGGUCCUUUGCUGACAUCGCGCGAUGCAUGCUGCGAUGAAGGGCACAGGUUGCGUCUUUCCCCCUUUCGCGACCUGCCGUUCAGUAGCCCGCUGCCGCCGUAUGUCCGCUUUCCCCUUCUGUGCCCACAUCGGACAGGCCCCUACAGCGAGAAUGCCACCCCUGCCUACCUGACUGGCGAGUUCCCCGGUGACUACGGCUGGGACACUGCUGGCCUGUCUGCUGACCCGGAGACGUUCAAGCGCUACCGCGAGCUGGAGCUGAUCCAUGCACGCUGGGCCAUGCUUGGCGCUCUGGGCUGCCUGACCCCCGAGCUGCUGUCCAAGAACGGCGUGCAGUUCGGUGAGGCUGUGUGGUUCAAGGCCGGCGCUCAGAUCUUCCAGGAGGGCGGCCUGGACUACCUGGGCAACCCGUCGCUGGUGCACGCUCAGAACAUCGUCGCGACGCUGGCGUGCCAGGUGGGCGGGAGGGACGUGGCUGCAUGCUUAGGAAUGUGUCCGGUCGCCUUACUUGUUAGCUGGCUAGGUGAAACAAGGUGGGGCGCGGCAACUGUGCUGCCAGCCCUUGACUGUUGCAAGCUCCCCUGCCUUUUGCGCGCUCUUACAUUCAGCUUGGGUUUGGAUUCCUAGUCGCAGCCUUGUGACAUGUGAGCAUUGUGCGCUAUCGCACGCACAUCCAGGAAUCUGGGUGUCUCGUUUCCUAUCCAGCUUGGUUUUAUUGCAGGCCGUACCCUGGCGUGUUGCUUAUCCGUAUUGACCGCUGUCUUCUCCCCCGCUCUCGCUGCUCACGUGCCGCGCAGGUGAUCCUGAUGGGCCUGGUGGAGGGCUACCGUGUGAACGGCGGCCCGGCCGGCGAGGGCCUGGACCCGCUGUACCCCGGCGAGUCGUUCGACCCCCUGGGCCUGGCUGACGACCCGGACACCUUCGCCGAGCUCAAGGUCAAGGAGAUCAAGAACGGCCGCCUGGCCAUGUUCUCCAUGUUCGGCUUCUUCGUGCAGGCCAUUGUGACCGGCAAGGGGCCCAUUGAGAACCUGAACGACCAUCUGGCCAACCCGGCCGUCAACAACGCCUUCGCCUUCGCCACCAAGUUCACGCCCAGCGCGUAAUGUAUCGCUGCUAUGUUUGCUAGUCGAAGCGGUUGUCCGCAUCUGCCGGCCGCUGCUGCCUUCAGCUACGUUACGUUGUUUAGCUAUGUGAACGUAGACACAGCAUAACCAAUAAACUGACAAUACCGGUAUACGAGACGUCACAUGCAUAGCAAUUGCAGGCAGUAGUUGCCUAUCCGUCACUGUUGGGUAAAUACGCUUGGAUGCGCAACUUGCCAAAACUGUUGAGUGAUGCGUGGGAGCUUGUCAGUUAUGUCCAUCGAACCUCGUUGUCGCACUGUGGCCACCUGUGGUUUUUAUGUCGUGUUCCUGCGAUGAGUUUCCGCAUGGUGCCGUGGUGAGUGGUGAGUGGUGAGCAGCGGCGGAAGCGGUCCUGUUACGGGCCUGAAGUUUUGUUGUGGGUGUCAGCCAGCAGGAGUUUCCCACAGCACGGGUGUUGAGGUGGAGCUCUUACUUUUGGGUGGGGUAGUGGGCGGUGAGACGUGAGAUGUCAAGAGCUUCAUACAAGGCGCAUGCACGUGCUGGGUGCGUUGCGCCAAGCAAGCUCCUGUAACAUUUCGGGUGUUCAUGAAGUAAGGAAGGUGUCGGUUCCAGUGCUUGUUUCACCGCUUCUUGGGGCUGGAGCACAUACAGCCAAUUUGGUGGGCACGUACUGCAAAGGCGGCCACACAACAGGCACACAUGGGGAACACGCGUGAGACAUGAGCUAAAGGAACAUGUCAUCAUUCAGAGGGAUGAUUCGAGGUGCAUAUGACCACGCUCUGUCGCGCAUAAAAAGCCAAGGGUUAUCGUGGCUUUCCUGUGUUAGCGAAGUGAGCUCAGGCGCUUCAUCGCGGGUUGAUGGCCUCGGUUGUCGUACAGUGCAAGAGUUAAACUUCAGCAAAACAUGUUGGUAGGUCACUCCUCGACGACAUCAGCAGCAGGGUAGUCACGCCUACCUCCCGUUCGGCCCCACGGUCUCGAUCCACAAUCGCACAACCACCGAUAAACUGAAUCCCCGAUAAGAAUCCGAACUUGAAUCGAUGGGAUAUGGUGGUUAGCACGUGAUGGAACCGGAAGCGUGAAGAGUUGGUGUGGGACCAGGGGACCCCCCGGCAGGGUAGUCACGCCUACCUCCCGUUCAGCCCAAUGGUCUCGAUCCACAAUCGCCGAUUAGUUAUUUCUCCGAUUGAUUUGGAACCAGAAUCGCCCAGAUUUGGUGGGGAUGCAUGUAUGCGUGCCACCUGUAACCCGCCUGGAGGGGCCAUCAGCACACCAGCGCACUCGAUAAUCUCGAUAAAACUAACCGUGUAACUCGUAUCGCAUCGCUCACAAUCGCUUAAGCCCGAUCAGUGAAUCGACGCGACCAGAAACAGCUGCAUUGGGAAUCCGCGCGACUUUGGCCGGACAGCGACCCUGCGACUUCCCGCCGACUGCAGCUUUUCUUCGCUUCGGUCGAUAUCAAAUACUAUCAAAGUCCAUAAACGCAGAACUUUGGUUAGCGAGGAGUCGCGAGAUGUUUCACAGCAGCUAACUUAGGAACCUUCGCACGUGUGCGCCGAUUUGCCGAAGCAACCAGUUACGCACACCUCUUUUUCUAUGGGUUGGCAACUCACUGGGCGCGCGUAACCCUCAGAAACCCUCAGUAACUGUCAGUUCCGCUCAGUUGGGCUCAGUCCCACUCAGUUCCCCUCAGUUCCUCUCAGUACCGCUCAGUUCCAUUCAGUUAGGCUGAGUUUUCUCAGAAGAACUAAUAAUUCAUACAAACAGUAUAGCAAGCUUCAGGCAGACUUCUGCAUCUUCCACUGGCCUUGUUGGCUCUGAAGGCAUCAGGACUCACCUACCAUACCUUGCAUCUGCUACAAUACAAUCAAACCUUACUUGGUACUCCAGUGCACCGUCCUUGAACCUACUCUUCUCUAAUCGACUAACCUCCACAUGCUCCUCACCUUCGUUACUCUCCUUCGUGGGCUCCUUGCGUCCUUGGUCAUAAUUUGCCCGGCUACUGGCAGCCCCUGGGCAGCCCCGACCCACGACCGGGAUCAGGCGCGGUGUGGGCGGAAUAGCCCUGAAAACUUAGCGCAAAGCCCUAUUCACCGAAGGCAGACCUAAGAAGCGCUGUCAGGAACUGUGCACAGGCCCGCUUGGGGCCAGGAUUCUGAAGUGUCAGUUUGGGUUGACAGCGCCUCAGGCACUCCUAGGCUAGGCCUUGGCUCUGCACUUACCACCCUGCACGUCCUCCUCCUGGAACGUGGAUGGGCGCCUGCACUGCUGCUGCUGCUCCUGGCGCCAAAACACAGCCGAGCAUUCCUGCCGCGCAUGAGAAACUGUCACAAGCGGUGCCCCAGGCCGAAGCCACCAGAAGCAAGCCAGCGUGUUACAUGCAGCUCCUUGGUCCUGGCCCUCAUCCUAGUUCUUUUGCGAAAUGUAUGUGGUUGCCGGCGAAGAAAGGAGAGCAAUUACGUAUAUGUCAAGUAGUCGACUUGGAUAACCCUCGAUAGAGCCCAGUGCCCGGCAAGCCUCUGGUGUUCUCUGUUCCCCCGGCAUACCUUAGUCAAGGUAUUUCUGCUCUGCACCCGGAUGAAGACACUCAUCGCACGCUUGUCCCUGUCCUUGUUCGCAUGGUCCUGCGGGGGCACACUAACCUGCUGUGGUGACCGCGCCUCCCUCAGACGGGACAGCUACGGCACCUGAAGGCAAAGCGAGCAUCCGGGGAUACAGAGACAAGCAAAGCUUUGCAGGCCUUUAUGCAGGCCGAAGUUAUCAGAGCACUUAAAGGUGAGGAGCGAGGAGGUGCAAAGUUUCUUGGAGGGCAUGGGCUCCUUACUUACCCGGGGCGUCCUGUCCGGCCCGGCCUGGCCCGCAUGAGCCUGUCCUCAGCCUCCCUGACCGCAGCCGCAUCCUGAAGAAGUCGCAUUGGAAUCCAAGAGGCUGGGAAAACGAGACCACGCGCUGUCCCCUCGUCCUGCAGCUUGCCUAUCAUGCUGUUGUUGCUGAACAACUGCGGCCGGCCGUAUUGUGCCGAUGGUGACUCGAGCCUUUCUGCAUUCCAUCACAUCGACCGCGCCCCUGUUUGCGCACCGACCAUGCCAUGUCGAGCAAGGAGCUCAGUGACGCCUCUGCUGGCUUACUGAACGAUGUGAGGGAGUGAGGGGUGACAAGCUCGGAGUGUGAUUCGGCCCCGAUCCCGGCCCAGAUCCCGGAUGACGAAUCGUGCAGCAACGAAAUCUACGUGCUACUGGUCUUCCAUCAGUCAGCUGUCGAGGUGGGCAGUUGUUCUUGGGGGGGGGGGGCAGCUCAGGACGUGUUGUGGUGCUGUGCACACGCCGUGCCUGAGUGCCAGUCCUCCCUCUUCCAAACACGGCAGGAUAAGCUUCACGUGCAGGCGUCGGGUCAGCACACUGUGUACAUCCGGUCGCCUUGCACAGGCGUUCCAACACUGCGGGGCCGAGCGAGGCCCGUGGUUCGCUUGCGUUCGGCCUGCGAACCUCGCCAGACGCGCGGCUUGCGUAAAAGCAGUAAUCUAUUAACAGAUAGGCAGGCGGCUGGCAGUAAUCUAUUAACAGAUAGGCAGGCGGCUGGCAGAGGUUAAGGCCUGACUUCUGCUCCCAGUCGACCCAGUCGACCCGGGUUCAUAUCCGCCUGCCGGCUCCUCGGGUAUUUGAGGAGUGAUGAAAUGGGAGGUGGCCCCCCAUCAUAUGGACGGUGUAGGACGUGAUAAUAUCAACUUGCGAGCUGACCAGGAACUAAGUUGAUGCGCCGUUGAUCCGCUAGAUUUGGUUGGAUGCUGGUGGUGAGUUGCCGAACCCAACGAAUACAUUCUGAAGUCGGAUGGGGUGACGGAUUAGGGUGCCCCUCUAGCAGGGGAGAGCAGGGACUGCCCCGGGAAAGGGGGCCGCUGGCGAAGUUAACCACCCUGUAACAACAUACAUAUAGAUUCCAUGAGGUGCUGCGCAGCUCACUUCCCACGGCUACCGAGAUGUUAACCGAUGGCCAGGUAGUACUUUGCGGGUGCUUCUCUGUGUUUUCACGAAGUUGCUCGUCACACUGUACAAUCUAAUUCAGCAUUGCCGAGUCGCGAGCACGUCCCAAACGACUCCAUAACUUCCUGCAGUUUCCACUCCAGAAUAAAAUAGGGGGGUCCUUGUGAAGCAGCUGCCCGCGUUUCUAAAGCCUGUAUGUUGUUGGAUAGUAAGUUGCAGAAUGGGGCCAGGCUGGAGAGGCAAGUGCAGUGGCAUAAUGGAAUGUAGAUGAGUAGAAGCUGUUUCCAGGGCGCUUGGCGCACGGCACAAUGUACAUGCAGUCAUGUCGUCACAAGUGCGUAUGCAAGAACAACAGGAACAACAACCAGAAGAACAAGAACAGCACCACAGGAACAGCGUGUGCACAGGCCACGUUGCGUCGGUCCUUUGCUAUGAUGUAGGAACGAAGAAUAAGGCCUAGGUUCAAGUUUCCUGUUGCGCGUGGAUGGCCAUGCCAGAACAGGCAACAUGAUGGGUGAACUCGCACGCUACCAACUUGCCCCUGAGCACGCGACGAGCGGACAUAGAAAAGAGCGCAGCGGGCCCCCCCCUUUCCCCCAACGCUCACGCAAUAGACCAUCCCAAGCGCUGCUGUCCGUAUGGGCCGCAGCCGCCGUUCACACACGAGUUAAGUCCGACAUGUAUGCACCGUGAACAUGUAUGCACCGUGAAUGAAACCCUAAGUGUGAUCGUGCCCAAAUACAACAGCACUGCCCAAUGUCCAGAAGCCUAGCGCCGAAAUCGUGGGACCCUGUCCGUCAAGCGUUAGGUGUCCAGUUGCUGUGUGGGCUAGGCGAGCGUGGCUGGGGUGUCAUCGUCUUGGACUGUCACGGCGGUGGGCGUGUGGGCGCUGCCGGCGCGUUGCCGGCUCAUCGCGUAGAAGGCCGGGCUGGCGGAAGGCGGCCCGCGCAGCACAUUGUAGCCGCCCGGCCCCCGGGCCUUGAACUGCGCGAUGUAGAGGGCCUCCAUCUUUUGGGCUAGAGCAGGAUUGGCGGUGCGCAAAGCGUAUGAUGGUCGACCCCGCCGGCUAAAGCUACACGUCCCCAACUGAAGAUAUUCUCGGUGGUUUACCAGCAGGUGUUGUGCUUCCUGCUGUCUGAUGUCCUGAACGCUUCCUCUUCCCGCAGCCGUUUCAAGCGCCCAGUCUUGCAAGCUACGUUGUAUGCUUUCAUAUCUUUUCAUAUCUUAUUCAGCUCAGGCUAAGCAGCCAGCCAAAAGUCCGAGAUGCAUACCGCUUGUGACUGCGGCCAACAUGCCCUGACGAGCGGCCUAACGCCGAAAAAAUUACAUACACUUUUACAGGCGCAUUUUGAGAAUUGAACGCGCGCAUCCGCACGGCAAAAUUCGCUCCUGGCUUUUUUGGGACGAUGUACGAACUGUUUUUGGGCACAGUACGACCGGACACAUUUGUGCGAGAGGCUGCUUAAAUAGGGGGGUCCUUGUGACGCAGCUGCCCGCGUUUUCAAAGCACGUAUGGUGUUGGAUUGUAAGGUGCCCAAGUACGUUUGCGAGGAAGAGAAUGUGGCCAGGCUGGAGAGGAAAGUGCAGUGGCAUAUUGGAAUGUGAGAUUAGCGUAAGCGAGUUACAGGGCGUUUUAUUGCACGGGCGAAUUUACGUGCAAAUCUUUCACCGUAGCAUCAGUCCUCAGUUCACUUCUUGGAACGAACAUCAGCAUAGGUGCAAGCCCUCUCGCUUGGGGGGAUAUGCAAACAAACAUCCUGAUAGGGGUAAACUCGCACGCUACCGAGCAUUCAACCGAGCACAUGCAUGCUUAGUGAAUNNNNNNNNNNNNNNNNNNNNNNNNNNNNNNNNNNNNNNNNNNNNNNNNNNUUUUGGGUCCAGCAGAGCUUGGACCUUGUGUUCACCGGCCCUGUCCGGGAUGGAAUGCCCUUUGCCGUCCUAAGCAGCGUGACCCAUUAUAUCAGCUUGCUUCCUAGCAAGGACAACAGCUACUGUCCUCCCGUCCUACGGUACUGGUAAUGAGUAAAGGCCGAACAGCUAGGGUCAAACAUGGAGAGACCACUUUUGGCGCCUAAAGAAUGCAUUGCAGUGCGUAUCAAAAUCCAUGUUCAGCGUGCACGUCACAGCAUUUAUACAGUCGCCACUGAGUUAUCCCUGCAUCAGAAACUUGUAUGAAACUUGCAAGCAGGUGUAGCAAAUCGUUCAUGCCAAUCUGUGCAAGUGCAGAUAGCUGUUAAGCGCAUGUGUUGCAGGUGUGCCAUGUCUGUAUCCUGCGAUCUCUGUUAGGUAAGCGCCCUGUCCCACGGACAGGACAGGGAUACGGCGUGCGUACGGCAUCAAGAUUUGCUUGCAAAACAAAAGCGCUGGUUGCCUGUGCUUUCAGUAUCAGUUCUCUCCUUUGUGCAGCAGAGUCUGAUCACCUUACGAACAUCUAAAAUGGCUUUCGCUCUCGGCACCUCGCGCGAGGCUCUGCAGGUCGCAUGCAAGGCGACCGGCAAGAAGGCCGCUGCUAAGGUCCGUUUUAUUUCGACACCAUUUAUUUUAUCAGCGUACCUUACAUAGACGCACAUACGUAUUUGCAGUGUCCUCUGGCUAACCAGAGACGUUUGUCCCGUUCGCAACAUCUUUACAGCCGGCUGCCCCCAAGAGCUCUGGCAUCGAGUGGUAUGGCCCGAACCGCGCUAAGUGGCUCGGUAGGUUAUCCUGGAGAUCCGAGGAGAUCCGAUAUGCAGCGGGUGUAGCGCGUAUCGGAGGGCCGGAAUAAUCGGUCGGUCUCCUGCAUGGUCCUCCUUUCGGCGCAACAUGCCGCAGCGUCAGGUUUCUGUGCGCAGGCUGCUCUCUCGGUCCUUUGCUGACAUCGCGCGAUGCAUGCUGCGAUGAAGGGCACAGGUUGCGUCUUUCCCCCUUUCGCGACCUGCCGUUCAGUAGCCCGCUGCCGCCGUAUGUCCGCUUUCCCCUUCUGUGCCCACAUCGGACAGGCCCCUACAGCGAGAAUGCCACACCUGCCUACCUGACUGGCGAGUUCCCCGGUGACUACN
This 14143-nucleotide long non-coding RNA is filed under the name Volvox carteri. RNAcentral's name for it is "long non-coding RNA (VCAR_LNC003468)". The record is from RNAcentral. Lineage: Eukaryota; Viridiplantae; Chlorophyta; Chlorophyceae; Chlamydomonadales; Volvocaceae.